CAGAAAGUAGUUUAGAAAAAAUAUUGAUAUUGGAAAUCAAAGAGUAGGGGUGACCCUACUUUCUGA
This 66-nucleotide transfer RNA is filed under the name Bathysciadiidae sp. MNHN-IM-2013-40843. RNAcentral describes it as "tRNA-Pro". The record is from RNAcentral. Lineage: Eukaryota; Metazoa; Mollusca; Gastropoda; Bathysciadiidae.